GGGGCUGUACUGGCUUCGACGUAGGUUCGGACGCGCAGUGGGGCAUGCCGAGGUUCAGUUACCUCGUAAAACCGCUGAAAACAAAGUAACUGCAAACGACGAACGUUUCGCACUCGCUGCUUAAAUCCAGCGAGCCUUGCAACAGCAGGCCAACGGGCUGGGCGAGGGUGCCGUAAGGCGUCCUAGCUGCAAGGGAAUUCACGUAGGCUGGCAUCGCGUCGGGUUACUUGGCGCGGUGUGAGACGCAAGGUAACGCAGCCUUUUGAACGAGAACUCAAUCAGUCGGCUAAGCAUGUAGAACCAUUCGAAAAAGGCUUGCGGACGGGGGUUCAACUCCCCCCAGCUCCACCA
This 351-nucleotide transfer-messenger RNA is filed under the name Burkholderiales. Its description in RNAcentral is "RFXW01 sp009921245 Standard tmRNA". It matches the Rfam family "transfer-messenger RNA". From Rfam's summary of the family: Bacterial tmRNA, also known as 10Sa RNA or SsrA, is named for its dual tRNA and mRNA-like properties. Its role is to liberate the mRNA from a stalled ribosome. Lineage: Bacteria; Pseudomonadati; Pseudomonadota; Betaproteobacteria. RNAcentral also lists the same sequence under 1 other name. The record is from RNAcentral.